Molecule: ribosomal RNA, 497 nt
Filed under: uncultured bacterium
Lineage: Bacteria
Description: partial 16S ribosomal RNA
Rfam family: Bacterial small subunit ribosomal RNA
Source: RNAcentral
GAUGAACGCUGGCGGCGUGCCUAAUACAUGCAAGUCGAGCGAACAGACGAGGAGCUUGCUCCUCUGACGUUAGCGGCGGACGGGUGAGUAACACGUGGAUAACCUACCUAUAAGACUGGGAUAACUUCGGGAAACCGGAGCUAAUACCGGAUAAUAUAUUGAACCGCAUGGUUCAAUAGUGAAAGACGGUUUUGCUGUCACUUAUAGAUGGAUCCGCGCCGCAUUAGCUAGUUGGUAAGGUAACGGCUUUCCAAGGCAACGAUGCGUAGCCGACCUGAGAGGGUGAUCGGCCACCCUGGAACUGAGACAGGGUCCAGACUCCUACGGGAGGCAGCAGUAGGGAAUCUUCCGCAAUGGGCGAAAGCCUGACGGAGCAACGCCGCGUGAGUGAUGAAGGUCUUCGGAUCGUAAAACUCUGUUAUUAGGGAAGAACAAAUGUGUAAGUAACUAUGCACGUCUUGACGGUACCUAAUCAGAAAGCCACGGCUAACUACGUG